AGAGUUUGGAUCCUGGCUCAGGAUGAACGCUAGCGGCAGGCUUAACACAUGCAAGUCGAGGGGUAACAGGGAUUGCUUGCAAUCCGCUGACGACCGGCGCACGGGUGCGUAACGCGUAUAGAACCUACCUUAUAUUGGGGGAUAGCCCAGAGAAAUUUGGAUUAAUACCCCAUAGUAUGCUGAAGUGGCAUCGCUUUAGUAUUAAAGAUUUAUCGAUAUAAGAUGGCUAUGCGUUCUAUUAGCUAGUUGGUAUGGUAACGGCAUACCAAGGCUACGAUAGAUAGGGGUCCUGAGAGGGAGAUCCCCCACACUGGUACUGAGACACGGACCAGACUCCUACGGGAGGCAGCAGUGAGGAAUAUUGGACAAUGGAGGUAACUCUGAUCCAGCCAUGCCGCGUGCAGGAAGACUGCCCUAUGGGUUGUAAACUGCUUUUAUAGAGGAAGAAACCCCCCGACGUGUCGGGGUCUGACGGUACUCUACGAANUAAGGAUCGGCUAACUCCGUGCCAGCAGCCGCGGUAAUACGGAGGAUCCAAGCGUUAUCCGGAAUCAUUGGGUUUAAAGGGUCCGUAGGCGGAUUUGUAAGUCAGUGGUGAAAGUUUGCGGCUCAACCGUAAAAUUGCCAUUGAUACUGCAAGUCUUGAAUCAUUGUGAAGUGGUUAGAAUAUGUAGUGUAGCGGUGAAAUGCAUAGAUAUUACAUAGAAUACCGAUUGCGAAGGCAGAUCACUAACAAUGUAUUGACGCUAAGGGACGAAAGCGUGGGUAGCGAACAGGAUUAGAUACCCUGGUAGUCCACGCCGUAAACGAUGGUCACUAGCUGUUUGGUUUUCGGACUGAGUGGCUAAGCGAAAGUGAUAAGUGACCCACCUGGGGAGUACGUUCGCAAGAAUGAAACUCAAAGGAAUUGACGGGGGCCCGCACAAGCGGUGGAGCAUGUGGUUUAAUUCGAUGAUACGCGAGGAACCUUACCAGGGCUUAAAUGUAGUCUGACAGCUUUAGAGAUAGAGUUUUCUUCGGACAGAUUACAAGGUGCUGCAUGGUUGUCGUCAGCUCGUGCCGUGAGGUGUCAGGUUAAGUCCUAUAACGAGCGCAACCCCUGUUGUUAGUUGCCAUCGAGUAAUGUCGGGAACUCUAGCAAGACUGCCGGUGCAAACCGCGAGGAAGGUGGGGAUGACGUCAAAUCAUCACGGCCCUUACGUCCUGGGCCACACACGUGCUACAAUGGUAGGUACAGAGAGCAGCCACUUGGUGACAAGGAGCGAAUCUAUAAAGCCUAUCACAGUUCGGAUCGGAGUCUGCAACUCGACUCCGUGAAGCUGGAAUCGCUAGUAAUCGGAUAUCAGCCAUGAUCCGGUGAAUACGUUCCCGGGCCUUGUACACACCGCCCGUCAAGCCAUGGAAGCUGGGGGUACCUGAAGUCCGUCACCGCAAGGAGCGGCCUAGGGUAAAACUAGUAACUGGGGCUAAGUCGUAACAAGGUAGCCGUACCGGAAGGUGCGGCUGG
This 1507-nucleotide ribosomal RNA is filed under the name Aquimarina sp. EF1C-B1014. RNAcentral's name for it is "bacterial SSU rRNA". It matches the Rfam family "Bacterial small subunit ribosomal RNA". The record is from RNAcentral. Lineage: Bacteria; Pseudomonadati; Bacteroidota; Flavobacteriia; Flavobacteriales; Flavobacteriaceae.